This is a non-coding RNA of Mycena rosella, 91 nucleotides long. The record is from the annotation of a GenBank genome assembly. NCBI's taxonomy places the organism in Eukaryota, Fungi, Basidiomycota, Agaricomycetes, Agaricales, Mycenaceae.
GACUCGAUGGCGGACGGUCCGCGCCUGCUCCUCGUAGGAAUCCUCCUGACAGUCCCAGCGGGAAGUGCCGGUUCGAUUCCGGCUCGAGGCA